RNAcentral lists this long non-coding RNA (711 nucleotides) under Cyanistes caeruleus (blue tit). RNAcentral's name for it is "lncRNA (ENSCCEG00000009987.1)". The record is from RNAcentral. Lineage: Eukaryota; Metazoa; Chordata; Aves; Passeriformes; Paridae.
CGGUCAUCUCAGGCAGGGGGCUGCAAAGUUCAUUAAAUGAUCUUAUCUCGCUGCUGGUUCUGUUCAAAAUAGCCUUGAUAUGAUGAAGGAUUUAUGUUACCCCCACUUCAAAUAAAAAGUACCGAGGGAUGCAUUUCAUUAUUGCCCUGUGACACUGGAGAAGCCACGGCUGCAGUGGUAAUAUUCCUCAUUUGUUUGUGUCAUACAGAGAAUUUAUUUGCAAGAAGAGUCCUGCUCCAAAGAGAAAAUGAAUAGCCAAUAUAUGCGUCAUGAAGUGCGGGGUUGUGAAACCAGUGACCUGAGGAACUUCUGGGAAAAGACCAUUGAACAACAAACUCAAUAUCUGCAAAGUGAAAAAGAACGUCAGCGAAGAAGCGCUCUGACAAAGCUCAGAAAUGAAUGGAUGGAGAGGCUGGAAAAGCGGAUAAAGAUGUUGAGGACCCAGUCUGAAGACUCAUCCAGCUGAAGAGCCCACACUCAUUACACGUUUGGGGGAAAAAAGUUCUGUUUUGUAGGAAAGUGUGAUGCAAAAGCUGAAGUCAGCUUUACUUUGUAGCUUAAAUGAGCUAUUAUUAAUUAGCUGUUGUUAGAAGUUUCAUACGUGAAAUGUCAAUUGCUGCUUUUAAGAUUAUGCAUCUGUCCCUUCAUUUGACAAAUGGAGAAUGUAGCACUCUAAAGUAUUUAACCCUAAUAAAUCAUGGUUCACUGACA